Molecule: long non-coding RNA, 347 nt
Filed under: Elaeis guineensis (African oil palm)
Lineage: Eukaryota; Viridiplantae; Streptophyta; Magnoliopsida; Arecales; Arecaceae
Description: long non-coding RNA (EGUI_LNC039704)
Source: RNAcentral
AAGAGCAGGGGCCUUCACCUGAUGAAGAGCAGGUUGGUAUGGAGUUAACACCCAUGCUUAAGUGCAGAGGCCUUCACCUCAGCUCGGGUGAGCUCGGACUUAUUCAUGGGCAAACUCCCCAGUGUCAUGGGUGAGACGAGCGGGGAAAGGUUGGAACCAUGGAACUGGUGAGCUGGGCGCUGAUAGAGGGGAGCUUGGAGGUGCGGCACUGGUGAGCUCGAGGUCGACAGGGGGCACACAAGAGGGGAGCACCUCGAGAACUCGGUACCUCGAGAGCUCGGAUCUGACGAGCUCGACGCCUUUGAGCACCUUGAGAGCUUGGAUCCAAUGAGCUCGGUGCCGUCGGA